Molecule: ribosomal RNA, 475 nt
Filed under: uncultured bacterium
Lineage: Bacteria
Description: SSU rRNA
Rfam family: Bacterial small subunit ribosomal RNA
Source: RNAcentral
AGGACGAACGCUGGCGGCGUGCUUAACACAUGCAAGUCGAACGGAAAGGCCCUUUCGGGGGUACUCGAGUGGCGAACGGGUGAGUAACACGUGGGUGAUCUGCCCUGCACUUCCGGGAUAAGCCUGGGGAAACUGGGUCCUAAUACCGGAUAGGACUACGGCCUGCAUGGGUUGUGGUGGAAAGCUUUUGCGGUGUGGGAUGGGCCCGCGGCCUAUCAGCUUGUUGGUGAGGUUAUGGCUUACCAAGGCGACGACGGGUAGCCGGCCUGAGAGGGUGACCGGCCACACUGGGACUGAGAUACGGCCCAGACUCCUACGGGAGGCAGCAGUGGGGAAUAUUGCACAAUGGGCGCAAGCCUGAUGCAGCGACGCCGCGUGAGGGAUGACGGCCUUCGGUGUAAACCUCUUCAGUAGGACGAAGCGAAGUGACGGUACCUGCAGAAGAAGGACCGGCCAACUACGUGCCAGCAGCCGC